GAUGAAGAACGCAGCGAAAUGCGAUAAGUAAUGUGAAUUGCAGAAUUCAGUGAAUCAUCGAAUCUUUGAACGCACAUUGCGCCCGCCAGUAUUCUGGCGGGCAUGCCUGUUCGAGCGUCAUUUCAACCAUCAAGCCCCCGGCUUGUGUUGGGGACCUGCGGCUGCCGCAGGCCCUGAAAAGCAGUGGCGGGCUCGCUGUCACACCGAGCGUAGUAGCAUACAUCUCGCUCUGGGNNNNNNGCGGGUUCCGGCCGUUAAACCACCUUCAUAACCCAAGGUUGACCUCGGAUCAGGUAGGAAGACCCGCUGAACUUAAGCAUAUCAAUAAGCGGAGGA
This 336-nucleotide unclassified non-coding RNA is filed under the name soil metagenome. RNAcentral's name for it is "partial contains 5.8S ribosomal RNA, internal transcribed spacer 2, and large subunit ribosomal RNA". The stretch from base 1 to 120 matches the Rfam family "5.8S ribosomal RNA", at positions 35 to 154 of the family's 154-position model. The record is from RNAcentral.